GACGAACGCUGGCGGCGUGCCUAAUACAUGCGAGUAGAACGCUGAAGGAGGAGCUUGCUCUUCUGGAUGAGUUGCGAACGGGUGAGUAACGCGUAGGUAACCUGCCUGGUAGCGGGGGAUAACUAUUGGAAACGAUAGCUAAUACCGCAUAACAGUAGAUGUUGCAUGACAUUUGCUUAAAAGGUGCAAUUGCAUCACUACCAGAUGGACCUGCGUUGUAUUAGCUAGUUGGUGGGGUAACGGCUCACCAAGGCGACGAUACAUAGCCGACCUGAGAGGGUGAUCGGCCACACUGGGACUGAGACACGGCCCAGACUCCUACGGGAGGCAGCAGUAGGGAAUCUUCGGCAAUGGACGGAAGUCUGACCGAGCAACGCCGCGUGAGUGAAGAAGGUUUUCGGAUCGUAAAGCUCUGUUGUAAGAGAAGAACGAGUGUGAGAGUGGAAAGUUCACACUGUGACGGUAUCUUACCAGAAAGGGACGGCUAACUACGUG
This 495-nucleotide ribosomal RNA is filed under the name uncultured bacterium. RNAcentral describes it as "partial 16S ribosomal RNA". It matches the Rfam family "Bacterial small subunit ribosomal RNA", at positions 28 to 507 of the family's 1533-position model. The record is from RNAcentral.